CUGUAUUUGUAACUGUUACGCGAAUAAUCUAGG
This 33-nucleotide non-coding RNA is filed under the name Plasmodium falciparum 3D7. The record is from RNAcentral. Lineage: Eukaryota; Apicomplexa; Aconoidasida; Haemosporida; Plasmodiidae.